This 1122-nucleotide long non-coding RNA is filed under the name Zonotrichia albicollis (white-throated sparrow). RNAcentral's name for it is "lncRNA (ENSZALG00000014718.1)". Lineage: Eukaryota; Metazoa; Chordata; Aves; Passeriformes; Passerellidae. The record is from RNAcentral.
AUGGACACCAGUACCACCUGGAGGAGGCUGAGCAAACCCAACCCCUCUAACCUACAUUUGCCACUUGGAGUGGCAUGCAGGACUGAGGGGGAUCUUCCAGUCUUUCUGGCUGGAAGAAGUAAGGAGUUUUCCCAAGAGAAUCCUGCUGUUCCUUAUGGAGCCCUUCCACCACAAGCUGCAGGAGCAGUUCAGAAUAUGCUACAGCACAACUCUGUGUGCCAUGGGGAGCUGCACCAGGCAGCCAAACCUGCUGACUGAGACACCACUGGACACAGAUUUAUUCCUGAAGAAAAGGUUGAACAAGAUAAAAUCCUCAUGGCAGCACAGAGGUAUCCAAGGCUCCAGGGAACACGAACAAGCUGCAGGGUAAAGCCAGUCACCAUCCACAGCUGAGUGGGUAAUUCCCAGCAAACCACAGCUUUGAUUAAGUGCACCCUUUUCCCAGCCACAGAGAAAAUGUUAAAGCUCUUGGAAGCUCCCUGCUUGCUUCUAAUAAUUACAAAUGAAGCCCUUUAUGCAGAAGACCAGUGAAAGAUCUGUGCAUCUGUGAAAUGCCCUGAAGCCCUGGAAACAGAGGAUGUCACAGCAUUCAAGGUGUUUCAGAGACUUUGAGGACCUUGUCAGUGGAUGAUUUCCACCUACAUUUGAAGUCUUGCCUUUUGCAGUCAAGAGAAUAAGGCAGAACUAUCCCUAUCUUCUGUCUCUAAAGGCAGGAGCCUGGUAAAAGGAAAACAUCAUGCAGAGUACGUGAGCAACAAGGCUGGGAAAUACAAAUUGUGUCUUUGUUUUCUUCAUAAAAAUUAAAGGUCAGCUGCAUGCCCAAGCAAAGGAAUUCAUUGUCCCCUCCAUGCAUGGAGCAUGCAGGGACAUGGAGACACCCAAAGUCCACAGCUACUGCAGAGCCAAUGUCCCUGUGUCAUCCACAUUCCCUGAUCACCCAAGCCUUUCCUACAUGUUGGCUUCCAGUCUGGUUGUGCUCCAGAGCCAGCAAACUUCAGGCACUGCAACAACCAGCUCACACAUGGGUAUAGAUUUAGCCUGAGAUAGUCAGGGAGCCCACAUCACCAUAGUAACUGCAUGCUGUUGCAUUAAUUUCAGCAAAUAAAUGAAGCUUUAAAGUCA